RNAcentral lists this ribosomal RNA (836 nucleotides) under uncultured bacterium. RNAcentral's name for it is "bacterial SSU rRNA". It matches the Rfam family "Bacterial small subunit ribosomal RNA", at positions 588 to 1421 of the family's 1533-position model. The record is from RNAcentral.
UNUGCUGUGAAAGGCUGGGGCUUANCCCUGGUUUUGCAGUGGGUACGGGCUAACUAGAGUGCAGUAGGGGAGACUGGAAUUCCUGGUGUAGCGGUGGAAUGCGCAGAUAUCAGGAGGAACACCGAUGGCGAAGGCAGGUCUCUGGGCUGUAACUGACGCUGAGAAGCGAAAGCAUGGGGAGCGAACAGGAUUAGAUACCCUGGUAGUCCAUGCCGUAAACGUUGGGCACUAGGUGUGGGGGACAUUNCACGUUUUCCGCGCCGUAGCUAACGCAUUAAGUGCCCCGCCUGGGGAGUACGGCCGCAAGGCUAAAACUCAAAGAAAUUGACGGGGGCCCGCACAAGCGGCGGAGCAUGCGGAUUAAUUCGAUGCAACGCGAAGAACCUUACCAAGGCUUGACAUAUACUGGACUGCGUCAGAGAUGGCGUUUCCCUUCGGGGCUGGUAUACAGGUGGUACAUGGUUGUCGUCAGCUCGUGUCGUGAGAUGUUGGGUUAAGUCCCGCAACGAGCGCAACCCUCGUUCUAUGUUGCCAGCACGUGAUGGUGGGGACUCAUAGGAGACUGCCGGGGUUAACUCGGAGGAAGGUGGGGAUGACGUCAAAUCAUCAUGCCCCUUAUGUCUUGGGCUUCACGCAUGCUACAAUGGCCGGUACAGAGGGUUGCGAUACUGUGAGGUGGAGCUAAUCCCUAAAAGCCGGUCUCAGUUCGGAUUGGGGUCUGCAACUCGACCCCAUGAAGUCGGAGUCGCUAGUAAUCGCAGAUCAGCAACGCUGCGGUGAAUACGUUCCCGGGCCUUGUACACACCGCCCGUCAAGUCACGAAAGUUGGUAACACC